Myodes glareolus (Bank vole) is the source of this 1792-nucleotide non-coding RNA. Lineage: Eukaryota; Metazoa; Chordata; Mammalia; Rodentia; Cricetidae. The record is from RefSeq and is a predicted model, not a curated record.
UGUGGUUUCAUGGAACAUUUUCAUUGCAUGGUAAAACUCUAGUAUGCAGAGGGUAAGAGAGACAUGACGGGCUACAUGCAAUCAAAUGACUUCAAAGUCACACCCCCAGUGAAUUCCUUCUUCCCCAAGUUUCCAAUAUCUGUUAAAGUAUAAUCUGAGGAUUACGUAGUCAACACAUGAGCCGUGUUCAAACACAACAGAGUUUCAGUCAGUGUAGGCAAACAGUUGGGAUACAGUCUUUGACAGAGCAGAAGGUUGGAAGUCAGGAUUCUGCCAUAUUUCUGAUCUCAGGAGAAGCCUGGGACAGAGUAUGUGUGUCUGGGAGUGUGGGAACCGUGGGGCUAAGAGGAUCGCCUAGAUGACUGCGCUCAGGAGCCUGGAUGGAAGCUUGGCUUAAAAUCCAGAGCCAGCUGGAAAGUCUAGCAGCUUUAUUGAGUGCCUGGGACGACAGCCUGAAAGAAUUGAUUCACGGUUUCUUCCAUCAGCACGACUGGACGAAGGAGGCCAAUCUUGAGAAUUCUUUACCAAUCCAGGAUCCUGCCCCAGAACCUCCAUCAGAUUUGCUGUGUCUCAGCGGAAGGGAAUGGGCUGGAGAUUCACCCCUGAGCUAGCCACCAACAAUGGAAAUGGGCAGGCGGGAAAUACCUGAAGCAGAAUUUACACAUUUUAUUCCAGCAGCGAGUGACAUAGCCUGUGAAUAGUUUAUUAAAUUAAAGUCCAUGGAAGCUCCACACAUUGCAAACUGGUUGUUACGAUGUAAUUCUUGCUGAAUCUGUCCUCACCUCAUGAGAAGCUGACAGGCAUUGCCUGGAACUUCUCUGUUCAGAGUGAAGAUGAUUGUGCUUUACAAGUUGCAGUGUGUUUGACUGCUCUCAGAGAAACACAAUUUGAGUACAGAAAUAAAGAAUUUCCGAUGUUUUCCUUAGUAUCUGCCAAACAACUAUCCCUCAAGGAACAAAAUGCAGAAUUUGUCUUUUUCUCCUGCUGUGAGUUGAAACACACAGAUGUUAUGGAAGAAAAAGAUUAGUACUCCAAUUUUAUGGCAAACCUCUGCCUGAAGGAGCAAACACGCCCUCUCCAUGUGACUUUAGGGGCAGACACGCCCUCUUCAUGCAUGCUGGCCACGCCCAGCCUAGCCAGCCUAGCCCUACGGAAGUUUCACGUGUGUUUUCAUGUUAUGUUCCCGGCACCUACAUAGUAGCACCCAACCAUCUAUACUUCCACUACCAGAGGAUCAGGAGUCUUGCCUCAGGUUUUGCCUUCUCUCCCCAUCUCCUCAGUGACUACGGAAGCCACCCCAGUGGAAGCCGCCCGAGCACUUGCUGCCUUAGCUUGACAAGAUCCAGAGCCAAGCUUUGAGCCAUUCCAUCUGACACUCCCACUUCUGAUUGAGGUUGGGAUCUUGCCUGGGAUCUCCUCCGUGCCAUUCUGAUGUGAAAGGCAGAACUUCCUGCUGAAGGGGACUCAUCUUUCUGGAAUUGCACCAAGCCUGGAGGCAGACUGGCUUUCCAGCCCUCAACAGGGGUUUCCGGCGGGGCCUGCCAUCCCUGCGGGAGUUCAGGUGCAUUUUGCUCAAUGUGAAAUCACAUUUUAUUCUCUCUAAUUACCAACUGGAUGACAGAAGUUCUUUGGUUUCCGUUUGUUCAGCUCAGUGUAAGAUAAUAAAACCGCUCCAUCACAUACCGAUUUAAAUAACUACUGUUGGGUUUUUGGUGUGUGUGUGUGUGCGCGCGUGCGCACGCACGUUGUUAAACAUGACAUCAAUAAAGCAUAACCCAAAUGCUUUUCCUGA